GCUGGCAGCUAGCUUUCUGUGACUCUCACAUGUUCCCACCUGAAGCUAAGUAGAGCUGCGCCCGCUCAGUACCUGGAUGGGAGACCACAGGGCAAAGCUAGGUUGCUGCCGGAA
Molecule: ribosomal RNA, 114 nt
Filed under: Danio rerio (zebrafish)
Lineage: Eukaryota; Metazoa; Chordata; Actinopteri; Cypriniformes; Danionidae
Source: RNAcentral